AGAGCGCAUGGUGGAUGCCUUGGCACUGGAAGCCGAUGAAGGACGCGGCAAGCUGCGAUAAUCCCCGGCGAGGAGCACACAUCCUUCGACCCGGGGGUCUCCGAAUGGGCGAACCCAUGCACAGCAGUGUGCAUAUCCCCGGCCCGAACACAUAGGGCCGGGGAGGACAACCCGGGGAACUGAAACAUCUAAGUACCCGGAGGAAGAGAAAGAAACAUCGAUUUCCUGAGUAGCGGCGAGCGAAAGGGAAAGAGCCUAAACCGAGAUGCGUGCAUUUCGGGGUAAUGGACUACAAUAAGUGAGCAAAAAGAUAGAAGAACAGGCAGGAAAGCCUGGCCGAAGAAAGUGAAAGCCUUGUAUUCGAAAUCUGAAUUGCAGCGAGUAGUAUCCGGAGUACUGCGGGACACGAGAAACCCUGCAGGAAGUCGGGGGGACCACCCCCCAAGGCUAAAUACUAACCAGUGACCGAUAGCGUAUAGUACUGUGAAGGAAAGGUGAAAAGAACCCUGGGAAGGGAGUGAAAGAGAACCUGAAACCAUGUGUUUACAAACUGUGGAAGAACUAUUAAAAGUUCAACCGCGUACUUUUUGUAGAACGGUCCGGCGAGUCACGCCGGCUGGCAAGGUUAAGGACUAAAGGUCCGGAGCCGAAGGGAAACCAAGUCUUAAUAGGGCGAAGAGUCAGUCAGCGUGGACCCGAAACCGGGUGAUCUACCCAUGUCCAGGAUGAAGCUGCCGUAAGAGGUAGUGGAGGUCCGAACACACAUCCGUUGAAAAGGGUGGUGAUGAGGUGUGGGUAGGGGAGAAAUUCCAAUCGAACCCGGAGAUAGCUGGUUCUCCUCGAAAUAGCUUUAGGGCUAGCCUUCAGUUAGUCUGCCGCAGGUAGAGCACUGAAUUUCCUAGGGGGCGUCAAAGCCUACCGAAGAAUAUCAAACUCCGAAUGGCGGACAGAUGAUGCUGGGGAGUCAGACUGCACGAGAUAAGUUGGGUGGUCAAAAGGGAAAGAGCCCAGACCUACAGCUAAGGUCCCAAAGUACGUGUUAAGUGGAAAAGGAUGUGGGAUUUCAAAGACAGCUAGGAUGUUGGCUUAGAAGCAGCCAUACAUUAAAAGAGUGCGUAAUAGCUCACUAGCCGAGAGGUCCUGCGCCGAAAAUGUCCGGGGCUAAAACACGACACCGAAGCUUAGGAAUCAGAAAUGAUUGGUAGAGGAGCAUUCUUAAAUCAUCGAAGCUGUACCGGUAAGGAGCAGUGGAGGUUUAAGAAGAGAGAAUGCCGGAAUGAGUAGCGAGAAUGAAGUGAGAAUCUUCAUGGCCGAAUAUCCAAGGUUUCCAGGGUAAAGCUGAUCUGCCCUGGGUUAGUCGGGGCCUAAGGCGAGGCUGAGAAGCGUAGCUGAUGGACAACAGGUUGAAAUUCCUGUACUGCCUUAUAACAGAACUGUGGGGACACAUGUUCAGGUCGCGAGCCGGGAAAGGAAAGCCCGGUGCAAGCAGAGGUUAUCGGUGGGAGGCAAACCCCCCACAAAAGAGAAGACUGCGAUGCGGAGCGAAGAAAAGUAGCGAAGAGCGAUGAGAAUGUGUCGAGAAAAGCCGCUAUUGUUUAUAAGGUACCCGUACCGUAAACCGACACAGGUGGAUGAGGAGAGAAUCCUAAGGCCGGCGGGAGAAGCAUUGUUAAGGAACUCGGCAAAAUGACCCCGUAACUUCGGGAGAAGGGGUGCCUGCGAGAGCAGGCCGCAGAGAAUAGGCUCAAGCAACUGUUUAGCAAAAACACAGGUCUAUGCGAAACCGAAAGGUGAAGUAUAUGGGCUGACGCCUGCCCGGUGCUGGAAGGUUAAGAGGAGAGGUUAGCGCAAGCGAAGCUUUGAAUUUAAGCCCCAGUAAACGGCGGCCGUAACUAUAACGGUCCUAAGGUAGCGAAAUUCCUUGUCGGGCAAGUUCCGACCCGCACGAAAGGCGUAACGAUUUGGGCGCUGUCUCAGCUGUAGACUCGGUGAAGUCUUAGUACCUGUGAAGAUGCAGGUUGCCCGCGACUAGACGGAAAGACCCCAUGGAGCUUCACUGCAGGUUGACAUUGGGCUUGGAUGCAUGAUGUACAGGAUAGGUGGGAGGCUGUGAGCCGUGCGCGCCAGCGUACGGGGAGCCGCUGUUGGGAUACCACCCUUCAUGCAUCUAGGUCCUAACCGGAGGCAACGGGCCACGGGACAGUGUCAGUCGGGCAGUUUGACUGGGGCGGUCGCCUCCCAAAGAGUAACGGAGGCGCCCAAAGAUACCCUCAGCAUGGAUGGAAACCAUGCAUAGAGUGCAAAGGCAUAAGGGUGUCUGACUGCGAGACAUACAGGUCGAGCAGGGACGAAAGUCGGGCUUAGUGAUCCGGCGGAUCCGAAUGGAAGGGCCGUCGCUCAACGGAUAAAAGCUACCCUGGGGAUAACAGGCUGAUCUCCCCCAAGAGUCCACAUCGACGGGGAGGUU
Molecule: ribosomal RNA, 2467 nt
Filed under: human gut metagenome
Description: bacterial LSU rRNA
Rfam family: Bacterial large subunit ribosomal RNA
Source: RNAcentral